CCUGUUGUUCGACCAACAGUAGCCUAUGGGCAGUGCGUUGCUGGUAACGGCAAGGUGCGAAGCGCCCUGACAAUGUAGUCCCACUCUGUGGUCUGGUUUGCCCGUGAGGGUUGCCGGGGAUUCUGCCAGCAACAGGCGGAUGAGACG
Non-coding RNA from Alcanivorax borkumensis SK2, 147 nucleotides. The record is from Rfam. Lineage: Bacteria; Pseudomonadati; Pseudomonadota; Gammaproteobacteria; Oceanospirillales; Alcanivoracaceae.